This 493-nucleotide small RNA is filed under the name Pan troglodytes (chimpanzee). RNAcentral describes it as "processed transcript". The record is from RNAcentral. Lineage: Eukaryota; Metazoa; Chordata; Mammalia; Primates; Hominidae.
GCCUGCGGAGAAGGCUCACCACGGGACCUUGUCCCUGCGCUGAAGGGCGCCUUGUUGUGGCUGGAGCAGUCCUGGCCUGAGCCCCGACUAAUAACAGAGCCCUUGAAACCCCUGCAGUCAGGACAGACGUCCCAGGCGAGCAGAGGCCCUGCGUGAGGAUGGGGCGGCGGGGCCAGAUGGUGUCCUGAGUAUCCAUCCUCCCUGGUGGCUGGGGACACGCUGACCAGCGUGGGGUCAGGAGCAUGGCCCCUGGAAAGACUCUGCUAACUGGAAUGGCUUAUUGUGCAAGAAAGUACACCUGGUCGGGUCCUGGGGCUCAUCUCUAGCACCAGCAAAGAUUUCUGAAGACGUCUUUCUAGAAACGACUGGAAAGUUUCAAGAGGCAUAAGAUACAGCAUUUCUUCUGAGGCCCUGAAGAAGUAUCAAGUGGGCUUUGACAUUGCGGUGGUGAGAGCGACCUUUCCUCACCUGGAGAACUGGGAAAUGUGGAUUC